CCUACGGGGGGCAGCAGUGGGGAAUAUUGGACAAUGGGGGCAACCCUGAUCCAGCCAUGCCGCGUGUGUGAAGAAGGCCCUCGGGUUGUAAAGCACUUUCAGUGAGGAAGAACGCCUGGUGGUUAAUACCCAUCAGGAAAGACAUCACUCACAGAAGAAGCACCGGCUAACUCCGUGCCAGCAGCCGCGGUAAUACGGAGGGUGCGAGCGUUAAUCGGAAUUACUGCGCGUAAAGCGCGCGUAGGUGGCUUGAUAAGCCGGUUGUGAAAGCCCCGGGCUCAACCUGGGAACGGCAUCCGGAACUGUCAAGCUAGAGUGCAGGAGAGGAAGGUAGAAUUCCCGGUGUAGCGGUGAAAUGCGUAGAGAUCGGGAGGAAUACCAGUGGCGAAGGCGGCCUUCUGGACUGACACUGACACUGAGGUGCGAAAGCGUGGGUAGCAAACAGGAUUAGAUACCCGAGUAGUC
RNAcentral lists this ribosomal RNA (465 nucleotides) under Vreelandella stevensii. RNAcentral describes it as "partial 16S ribosomal RNA". It matches the Rfam family "Bacterial small subunit ribosomal RNA", at positions 338 to 795 of the family's 1533-position model. The record is from RNAcentral. Lineage: Bacteria; Pseudomonadati; Pseudomonadota; Gammaproteobacteria; Oceanospirillales; Halomonadaceae.